RNAcentral lists this ribosomal RNA (761 nucleotides) under uncultured Aeromonadaceae bacterium. RNAcentral's name for it is "bacterial SSU rRNA". It matches the Rfam family "Bacterial small subunit ribosomal RNA", at positions 28 to 776 of the family's 1533-position model. The record is from RNAcentral. Lineage: Bacteria; Pseudomonadati; Pseudomonadota; Gammaproteobacteria; Aeromonadales; Aeromonadaceae.
AUUGAACGCUGGCGGCAGGCCUAACACAUGCAAGUCGAGCGGCAGCGGGAAAGUAGCUUGCUACUUUUGCCGGCGAGCGGCGGACGGGUGAGUAAUGCCUGGGAAAUUGCCCAGUCGAGGGGGAUAACAGUUGGAAACGACUGCUAAUACCGCAUACGCCCUACGGGGGAAAGCAGGGGACCUUCGGGCCUUGCGCGAUUGGAUAUGCCCAGGUGGGAUUAGCUAGUUGGUGAGGUAAUGGCUCACCAAGGCGACGAUCCCUAGCUGGUCUGAGAGGAUGAUCAGCCACACUGGAACUGAGACACGGUCCAGACUCCUACGGGAGGCAGCAGUGGGGAAUAUUGCACAAUGGGGGAAACCCUGAUGCAGCCAUGCCGCGUGUGUGAAGAAGGCCUUCGGGUUGUAAAGCACUUUCAGCGAGGAGGAAAGGUUGAUGCCUAAUAUGUAUCAACUGUGACGUUACUCGCAGAAGAAGCACCGGCUAACUCCGUGCCAGCAGCCGCGGUAGUACGGAGGGUGCAAGCGUUAAUCGGAAUUACUGGGCGUAAAGCGCACGCAGGCGGUUGGAUAAGUUAGAUGUGAAAGCCCCGGGCUCAACCUGGGAAUUGCAUUUAAAACUGUCCAGCUAGAGUCUUGUAGAGGGGGGUAGAAUUCCAGGUGUAGCGGUGAAAUGCGUAGAGAUCUGGAGGAAUACCGGUGGCGAAGGCGGCCCCCUGGACAAAGACUGACGCUCAGGUGCGAAAGCGUGGGGAGCAAACAGG